Molecule: ribosomal RNA, 491 nt
Filed under: uncultured bacterium
Lineage: Bacteria
Description: partial 16S ribosomal RNA
Rfam family: Bacterial small subunit ribosomal RNA
Source: RNAcentral
GAUGAACGCUGGCUACAGGCUUAACACAUGCAAGUCGAGGGGAAACGACGGGGAAGCUUGCUUCCCCGGGCGUCGACCGGCGCACGGGUGAGUAACGCGUAUCCAACCUGCCUCUGACUGAGGGAUAACCCGUCGAAAGUCGGCCUAAUACCUCAUGGUAUCGUCUGCGGGCAUCCAACGACGAUUAAAGAUUUCAUCGGUCAGGGAUGGGGAUGCGUCUGAUUAGCUUGUUGGCGGGGUAACGGCCCACCAAGGCUACGAUCAGUAGGGGUUCUGAGAGGAAGGUCCCCCACAUUGGAACUGAGACCCGGUCCAAACUCCUACGGGAGGCAGCAGUGAGGAAUAUUGGUCAAUGGGCGAGAGCCUGAACCAGCCAAGUAGCGUGCAGGAAGACGGCCCUAUGGGUUGUAAACUGCUUUUAUGCGGGGAUAAAGUGAGGGACGUGUCCCUCAUUGCAGGUACCGCAUGAAUAAGGACCGGCUAAUUCCGUG